This 373-nucleotide ribosomal RNA is filed under the name uncultured organism. Its description in RNAcentral is "bacterial SSU rRNA". It matches the Rfam family "Bacterial small subunit ribosomal RNA", at positions 526 to 896 of the family's 1533-position model. The record is from RNAcentral.
CGUAGGGCGCGAGCGUUGUCCGGAUUUAUUGGGCGUAAAGAGCUCGUAGGCGGCUUGUCGCGUCGACCGUGAAAACUUGGGGCUCAACCCCAAGCCUGCGGUCGAUACGGGCAGGCUAGAGUUCGGUAGGGGAGACUGGAAUUCCUGGUGUAGCGGUGAAAUGCGCAGAUAUCAGGAGGAACACCGGUGGCGAAGGCGGGUCUCUGGGCCGAUACUGACGCUGAGGAGCGAAAGCGUGGGGAGCGAACAGGAUUAGAUACCCUGGUAGUCCACGCUGUAAACGUUGGGCGCUAGGUGUGGGGGGCCUCUCCGGUUCCCUGUGCCGCAGCUAACGCAUUAAGCGCCCCGCCUGGGGAGUACGGCCGCAAGGCUA